AAAAUCUCUUCUCUGGUUCAGCAUAUAUAGAGCUUUCCCUCUUCCUGGCAAAAGUUGUCAUCACAACACUCUGUUUCCUAGGAGACCACUGAGCUGAUUUCAGUUUGGGUUGAGCAGAGUGUAGGUGAGGCUUCAGUCAUGGAACCCGG
Molecule: non-coding RNA, 149 nt
Organism: Ceratotherium simum simum (southern white rhinoceros)
Lineage: Eukaryota; Metazoa; Chordata; Mammalia; Perissodactyla; Rhinocerotidae
Source: RefSeq, a predicted model, not a curated record